This 225-nucleotide ribosomal RNA is filed under the name uncultured bacterium. RNAcentral's name for it is "partial 16S ribosomal RNA". It matches the Rfam family "Bacterial small subunit ribosomal RNA", at positions 96 to 334 of the family's 1533-position model. The record is from RNAcentral.
UGGCGGACGGGUGAGUAACGCGUAGGGAUUUAUCGUUGGGUGGGGGAGUAACCCUGGGAAACUGGGGCUAAUACCGCAUGACGCCUGUGGGCCAAAGUUGUAAUGGCGCCUGACGAGAAGCCUGCGUCCGAUUAGCUAGUUGGUGGGGUAAGGGCUUACCAAGGCAUCGAUCGGUAGCUGGUCUGAGAGGAUGAUCAGCCACACUGGGACUGAGACACGGCCCAG